Molecule: ribosomal RNA, 488 nt
Filed under: uncultured bacterium
Lineage: Bacteria
Description: partial 16S ribosomal RNA
Rfam family: Bacterial small subunit ribosomal RNA
Source: RNAcentral
GACGAACGCUGGCGGCGUGCUUAACACAUGCAAGUCGAACGAAAAUACCAAGCUUGCUUGGUUGAUUAGUGGCGAACGGGUGAGUAACACGUGAGUAACCUGCCCCUUACUUUCCUGGAUAACUGCUCGAAAGGGUAGCCAAUACGGGAUAUUCUGACCAGCCUGCAUGGGUUGGUUUGGAAAGGUUGUUUUUCUGGUAAGGGAUGGGCUCGCGGCCUAUCAGCUUGUUGGUGGGGUGAUGGCCUACCAAGGCUUUGACGGGUAGCCGGCCUGAGAGGGUGGACGGUCACACUGGGACUGAGAUACGGCCCAGACUCCUACGGGAGGCAGCAGUGGGGAAUAUUGCACAAUGGGCGCAAGCCUGAUGCAGCGACGCCGCGUGAGGGAUGAAGGCCUUCGGGUUGUAAACCUCUUUCGUCAGGGAACAAGGCACUGCUUUUUUGGUGGUGUUGAGGGUACCUGGAUAAGAAGCGCCGGCUAACUACGUG